GUGACCAGACCAAGUCUGAAUCACAUUGCAACCGCACGUGCCAGAGCACAACUCUGCUCACUCAAAUUUGCUCAGCUGCCCCUCCAUCAUGAUCCCUAGAUCAAAUCCUUUUUCCACCUCAGGCAGAAUGGGGAAUUGAAUCUGGGUCUCCCAAAUCACAGGUCAUCUCAGACUCAUCAUCCAAGAGAUAGCCCCUCACAGCAAGAUCCAGCAUUGCAGCCACUGCACCUCAUCUCCUCCUUCAUGCCAGUCUGAUCAAAUACAGGGAGAAACAGGUUCCCUCCCAGGCAGGAGGCAAGGCAGCUAUCUGUCUCCAAUGAAAUGAAGCAAAGUAUGACCAAAAACAAUGGAAAACCCAUUUACACACAAGUCAGCAGAGGGGUGAGAAACCCACAGGAAAGGAAGAACAGCGUGAGGUCACCUUGAGUCUGGGGACCAAAUAGUGAGUUUGGAAAGUUAAUAAAAGGCAGGAGAAGUAGUCAUCUUAGCAGCCCUCACUAGACAGCCACAAGAGGCCAGAGCUCUAGCAAGCUGAGAGAGAUGGGUCCUUUAACCCAGACAGUUGAAGUCACUGUGAAUUCAAUAUUGAUGAAGAAACUACGUGGAACAAAGAUUGUAGCUUUUUAAGUUCAGUCUUAGCCCUUAGAAAGCCAUUUUUGUAACCCCUUCUAACUUUAUUCCUUCUACUUGGUAUCACUUAACCUAUGUCCUUUUGUUAAUACACUAUUUUAUUCCUACAAUAAGCCAACUCAAUGCUGUGCUCGAAGGGAAGGGUUUAUUUACCCCAGUUAAGUUAAUAAGCAAUAAUGUUCUUGUCUCUUUAAAGGAGCAAACAAACCUUAUUAUUUCUUAGUGUUCCAGGAGAGGACUGGACACUUCAGGGCAGAUGGGUCUGGGGAAAUUCAAGACUGGGAUUGUAUUGGGGUCAUCUCUGCAAGUAGUAACCAAGGAGGGGUGGAUACCAGAGUGGAGCUGUUGUAUUAUAGGCAAGCUGCUGGGAUCAGAGUGCUGAACGAGAGCUGCAUAGCACACAGACACUUGGGAUUCUGCAUGCUUGUCUGUUGGUGACCAGGCAGUGUGCCACAGCAGCAGAACAUUUAAAGCAUCCAGGAUUACAGGCCAGGCAGUGACACCCCCUUACUGGUCUGAAUGGCACCCAAGAAUGUGACACCCUUCCACAUCCAUGAAACACCUGACUUGGAGGAGGAGGAGAAAGUGGACUAGGGAGGACUUGUUCACUGAGAUCAUGCAAGCCAGUGCUCCAUUGAACCUUGAGCAGAGGGCCUAGAAUGCUAAUAUAACAGACAACCUGGAGAAGGGAAGAGAAGAUCGGAGAAGGAGAGGGAGAUGCACCAGGACAUAAUGGAGCUUCUCUGGUAUCAAACACAAAAGCUCCAGAUUCUUGUUGACCUACAGAGAUCCAAUAUUCAUGUGCUCACCUCCCUUGUCAGUCAAUGGCAAACUACACUUCAGCAGUUUCCCAUGCUCCCCAGCAUUCCACGUGGCAUCAUGGGCUGCAUCCCGGCCCCUACCCCUCUGUGCCAGGGUGCAAUAAGGAAAGCCACAGCUUCACAUACACAGACCUUUGAGAACCA
Long non-coding RNA from Mauremys mutica (yellowpond turtle), 1595 nucleotides. RefSeq lists it as uncharacterized. The transcript is spliced from 3 exons. Lineage: Eukaryota; Metazoa; Chordata; Testudines; Geoemydidae. The record is from RefSeq and is a predicted model, not a curated record.